CAAGAACCAAAUUCAUACUGGCGUUUAGGAUUCAGGUUUGGAGGUAAACAUGAUAACCGUAGUAACAGCUUCAGCUUUUCACACUCAGAGCCAUGUGCUUUGAGGCUCAUGUUUGCUCAGAUGAUCUUCAACAAGAGGGUUAACAAUGAUGCCAUUUUUAUCUUCCAAGUAGAUUGUAUUAUUGUGUAUCUGCAUCUAUAUGCUCAGGAAAAGAGAGCCCUGCAUCACGGCAGACUUGAGCUAAAUGACGAUUGGAGAUGCAAACUCCAGUUAAAACAAUAGGUGCAAAAGUCAGCCUCUUGGCCUAUAUCUGGACACAGUACUCCAGAGAUGAGAGUCUGGCUGGUCUACUACAUACAAAGGACCUGAAUGACAUCUGAGUUACACUGCAGAAUUUGCUCUAAAAUUGCAUCGCUUUGUGAAUGAUGAAGUUGGGCGAAACCAGUUAUUUUAGAGAUGCAGAUUCCACAAGAUACCCA
Long non-coding RNA from Gallus gallus (chicken), 479 nucleotides. The record is from Ensembl. Lineage: Eukaryota; Metazoa; Chordata; Aves; Galliformes; Phasianidae.